GAGCGUGAAGGAUAACGUUGCGUCAGCAACGGCCCGUAGGGCGAGGCGAAGCCGAGUCAUCCUGCACGACCCACCA
This 76-nucleotide small RNA is filed under the name Salmonella enterica. RNAcentral describes it as "partial RtT sRNA". It matches the Rfam family "RtT RNA", at positions 50 to 130 of the family's 130-position model. Rfam says of the family: This family represents a bacterial cis-regulatory element known as RtT RNA. The record is from RNAcentral. Lineage: Bacteria; Pseudomonadati; Pseudomonadota; Gammaproteobacteria; Enterobacterales; Enterobacteriaceae.